AUGGCGGUUUAUUGUUUUGUUUAGGAAAAGCAGUUAACCGAAAGCUGUAUGUUUCAGCUGGUCAUGAUAAGUGCAGAUAAACAAGUGUAAUGCUCCCGAAGAAUGUGUGGGCCAAACAAUAUCUAAGAAACAAAAAGUUGAUAAAAAUGCAGAAAGAUAUGGCCAAUUCAUUGAAGGUGACGACAUGCAGGUGUGACUGUAUGCACGACUGUUACUGCUGCCUGGGUAUUAUGUGAGCAAGAAACACGUCUGGAUUAUAAUUUGGACACACAUGUACAGCUGUUUUGUGAAUAUGAUAAAUUAUGUAUGCUAUAUUUGCAUUUUUGAUGGGUUCUUAGAUGUUUAAUGUUCAAUACAUCAGACAAACUCUGAAGUUUUUUUUUAAUAGAAUAUUAAUUUAUGAAACAAAAUCCC
Long non-coding RNA from Dreissena polymorpha, 414 nucleotides. RefSeq lists it as uncharacterized. NCBI's taxonomy places the organism in Eukaryota, Metazoa, Mollusca, Bivalvia, Myida, Dreissenidae. The record is from RefSeq and is a predicted model, not a curated record. The transcript has 4 exons.